CCUCCACCUAGUGUGCCUACCUGAACGUGUUUCUUCGGAACUUCUGAAAAAUCUGGAAAUAGUGAUGCCACAUUGUGAGCUUUAAAGACAACUGAAGUCUUUCCGGUCCCUGAAAAUGGCUACAAUA
Meriones unguiculatus (Mongolian gerbil) is the source of this 127-nucleotide small nucleolar RNA. The record is from Ensembl. NCBI's taxonomy places the organism in Eukaryota, Metazoa, Chordata, Mammalia, Rodentia, Muridae.